This 443-nucleotide ribosomal RNA is filed under the name uncultured bacterium. RNAcentral describes it as "bacterial SSU rRNA". It matches the Rfam family "Bacterial small subunit ribosomal RNA", at positions 29 to 517 of the family's 1533-position model. The record is from RNAcentral.
AACGAACGCUGGCGGCAGGCCUAACACAUGCAAGUCGAACGCUGUAGCAAUACAGAGUGGCAGACGGGUGAGUAACGCGUGGGAACGUGCCCUUCGGUCCGGAAUAACCCAGGGAAACUUGAGCUAAUACCGGAUACGUGCGAGAGCAGAAAGAUUUAUCGCCGAAGGAUCGGCCCGCGUCCGAUUAGCUAGUUGGUGAGGUAAAAGCUCACCAAGGCGACGAUCGGUAGCUGGUCUGAGAGGAUGAUCAGCCACACUGGGACUGAGACACGGCCCAGACUCCUACGGGAGGCAGCAGUGGGGAAUAUUGGACAAUGGGCGAAAGCCUGAUCCAGCCAUGCCGCGUGAGUGAUGAAGGCCCUAGGGUUGUAAAGCUCUUUCGCCAGGGACGAUAAUGACGGUACCUGGAUAAGAAGCCCCGGCUAACUUCGUGCCAGCCGCCG